Dreissena polymorpha is the source of this 2293-nucleotide long non-coding RNA. RefSeq lists it as uncharacterized. Lineage: Eukaryota; Metazoa; Mollusca; Bivalvia; Myida; Dreissenidae. The record is from RefSeq and is a predicted model, not a curated record. The transcript is spliced from 4 exons.
AGUCUUGAUUGCCAAUUCAACAGAACUUUGCCUAGUAGCGAUAUGUGUAAGUCUUGAUUACCAAUACAACAGAACUUUGCCUGUAAGCAAUAUGUGAAAGUUUUGAUCGCCAAUUUAACAGAACUUUGCCUAGUAGCGAUAUGUGUAAGUCUUGAUUACCAAUACAACAGAACUUUGCCUGUAAGCAAUAUGUGAAAGUUUUGAUUGCCAAUUUAACAGAACUUUGCCUAGUAGCGAUAUGUGUAAGUUUUGAUUGCCAAUUCAACAGAACUUUACCUAGUAGACAUAUGAAGAAGUUUUGAUUGCCAAUUCAACAGAACUUUGCCUAGUAGCGAUAUGUGUAAGUCUUCAUUGCCAAUUCAACAGAACUUUGCCUAGUAGCGAUAUGUGUAAGUCUUGAUUGCCAAUUCAACAGAACUUUGCUUUGAAGCGAUAUGUAAAAGUUUUGAUUGCGAAUUCAACAGAACUUUGCCUAGUAGCGAUAUGUGAAAGUUUUGAUUGCCAAUUCAACAGAACUUUGCUUAGAAGCGAUAUGUGAAAGUCUUGAUUGUCAAUUCAACAGAACUUUGCCUGGUAGCAAUAUGUGAAAGUCUUGAUUGCCAAUUCAACAGAACUUUGCCUAGUAGCGAUAUGUGAAAGUCUUUAUUGCCAAUUCAACAGAACUUGGCCUAGUAGCAAUAUGUGAAAGUUUUGAUUGCCAAUUCAACAGAACUUUGCCUAGUAGCGAUAUGUGAAAGUCUUGAUUGUCAAUUCAACAGAACUUUGCUUAGAAGCGAUAUGUGAAAGUUUUGAUUGCCAAAUCAACAGAACUUUGCCUAGUCGCGAUAUGUAAAAGUCUUUAUUGAGAAUUCAACAGAACUUGGCCUUGGAGCAACAUGUGAAAGUCUUCAUUGCCAAUUCAGCAAAACUUGGCCUGGAUACUUGAAAGCCUUUAUUGCCAAUCCAACAGAACUUUGCCUGAGAGUGAUAUGUGAAAGUCUUCAUUGCCAAUUCAACGGAACUUGGCCUGGAUGCAAUUUGUGAAAGUCUUCAUUGCCAAUUUAACAGUACUUUGCUUGUUAGCAAUAUGUGAAAGUCUUGGUUGCGAUAUCAAUAAGCUACGCUGAACUCCUUGGUUGCCAUGAUUACUCACCUGUCCCCUUUCCAGCUGGGGUGUGGGGCUCUGUGCUGGGCCAACUGUUGGACCCUCUGUGUGGCAACUGGAAACAUACACUCACAAAAUGCACAAUAUGUUCGGUCGCUUUUACUUACCGGUCCUCUAGAAAUCCAGGCGGGACCUGUUUCGGCCGCGACAACACAUCUAUUCUUCGGUUACUUUGUUCUGGAACAGAGGGUGGAGAUUUAACGGUAUCGCGUCAAUUAUUUAUUUAUAUAAAUGGUAAUAAACAGAGAAAGUAAAACUUACCUUCCACUGCGGCGGACAUUUUUAGAACUGCGACGCGCGCACAUAUCAACCGUAGCCAUGGACGCUUUCGAUUACUUGCCUUGAUAACCUCCCUUGAUUGCAACACGGAGGCGGGAAAUUUGAAAAUCAAAAUUGUCCUCCAAUAAAUUUAGUAGAAAUGAAAAAGAUAUGCGAAGCUUGCGGUUGAUUUCGUUUUUAUAGAUGUUCCAUUGGAGGCACAGACUUUGAAAUCUACUGGACACUGGCGUUUUAGUAGGCUAUAAGCGGACUAAGGACCUGAGGCAUGGGCCCAAACACUAUCACUACCUAUGGGCCUCCACGGUUCUUAAUUCGACACUGCCCGCAGAUGUACCAGUUUAGCAGACAUUGAAGGGUGCCCGCAGAUGUACCAGUUUAGCAGACAUUGAAGGGUGCCCGCAGAUGUACCAGUUUAGCAGACAUUGAAGGGCGUACGCAAAACCUUGAUUACCACACGUCAUUCACGUGAACUUAAAUUUAGAAAAAAAACUUUUACUUGAUAAACCUGUGAUUGACAUUAACGAUUUGUAAAUUGAAUUUUUAAGCAAUACCAUAAUUAUGCGUUGCAAGUCCCUAUAAAGUAAUGCAUAUAAUACAUCACAAAUAUCCUUCAUGUAAUGGAUUAAUUAUCAGCACUCAAAUGUUUAGGCCAAUACACCUUUCAUCGCUUGUGAAUAAACCAUGACAACAUACAACAUAAUAAAUGUGCACUAGUAAUAAUAUUAAAUCAAAGAAACAAUAACAAAAGAAUAAAAACAAUUUGUAAAGUUCACUGAAAUGGGUGCGUUAAUGAGCAAGGUAUAUACAGAAAAUAAAAAGGUAUACUAUACAUGUAGAUGUACAUAGCGGUAUACGAUUUCAUUUUUCGUA